UUUUUUUGCGAAGGAAGGACCUGAUUGCAUUAUCCAAGUUUCGUACAGAAAAGACCAGGAAAAAAGAAAAAUACAGAUAAGCCCUCCUGGACCCUGUCGUCGUCUCCGCCGAGCACGACGCCACGCCGGCGAAACCUGCCGCUCAUCCUCCAAACCUUGGACUGGGAGGACCCCCGAACGGCCAGGGAGUCGAACGCUCCUCGGUGCGAGCACCUCCACCAUGCAAAGCGACCGGCGACGGCAGCUUGGAUACCUGCAAACGAAGCUUCCAGAUCUUCGAAAACCGGAGCCAUCACUACUUGGCCUCCGGCGCGGGGAAAGCACGCACAGCGCCUCCGACGAGACGCGGGCGAUGCAGGGACGGCGGAUCCGGAGCUGGCCUCCACCGGAGCACCAACGCCAGAGGAGAUGACCGCCAUCUUCAAAGCCACUCCGGCCACGCCUCCAUCUCCGCAGCGCCGCCGGCUAGCACCCUACUGCUACCUACGCUAUAUACACGCCGGGAUCCGGCGAUUCCCCAUCCUCCCGCCACCGGAGCGGCCGCCGGAGGGUGAGGAAUCACACGGAUCGCCGGCGGCGAGGUGGGAGCAGAGGAAGAGCCCAAGAAAUCGCCUCCUUUUACUGUAGCGAUAGGAGGGGAACGGCCCUUUCUCGUCAUGUCGUCAUCUUGCUCACGGACGGUCGAUGGGUGCUCGGCCGGCGACCGGCGUCCGGCGUCCAUCUGCCUCAACUGCGACGAAGGGUGCGCAUGAGUCCAUCUACCUCCACUCCAACGAUGGGUGCCCACUGCCCAGGACUUCCUCUUCUUCCGCCCCGAUCGAUCGGUGCCGGCCCAAUCGGCGCGCACCUACCACCGCGGGAUGACAAGGGAAUGGAAGCAAUACUGAGGAAAUAUGAACCAUGAGAACGUAUUAAUGAUGAUGAGGAUGACAUCUAUGGCAAUUACUCAGAUGGUCUCUGUGUCAAGGGUGAUAAUGACGAUUAUGGUGAUGAGCAGUAAGAACCAUGUGGCGAUAAGCAUGAUGAUAUCAAUGUGAUGAUGGUGAUUAUUAGUGAUGAGUCUAAUGAUCUUUAAGGCAUGCAACAACGUGGAGUUCUGAAGCUUGUGGGCAAUUUAGUUAUGCAAAUUGUUAGACCAUUAUUAUAUCUUAGUUACUAUUAUGUAGUGCAUACGGUACUUCCUUAUGGAUAAUAUACUUUUCGAGGCUAUGCGAAAUAUGUAAUUUAGUCAUGUGUGAUUUGUGGUUGUGUAAAUAUGAGAUGUUUUAAUAAUAUAUGCUAAUAUUCUGAAA
Lolium perenne is the source of this 1292-nucleotide long non-coding RNA. RefSeq lists it as uncharacterized. Lineage: Eukaryota; Viridiplantae; Streptophyta; Magnoliopsida; Poales; Poaceae. The record is from RefSeq and is a predicted model, not a curated record.